Long non-coding RNA from Alosa alosa (allis shad), 1237 nucleotides. RefSeq lists it as uncharacterized. NCBI's taxonomy places the organism in Eukaryota, Metazoa, Chordata, Actinopteri, Clupeiformes, Clupeidae. The transcript is spliced from 4 exons. The record is from RefSeq and is a predicted model, not a curated record.
ACCCCACACGUUCAGGGAGGAGGGAGAGAGAGAAGGAAGGAAGGGGCAGCAGGUUUUGGUACUUGUAUUCCUAUUGCCUGGGCGUGCAAUCCUCUGGUUCAGCGGUGUGUCAUCCCUGUAGCGGUUGAAACCCUUCAGCAUCAGUGCGACGUUGGCAUCGUGUGAUGCUGAGUGAGGAGACGCUGUCUAGACGCUGGUUCAUGGGGAGAGAGGCAUCGCGUGGACUAGACUCAGCUGCCAAGCACACAGAGGAAAGGCUAGGACCAGGACCAAGCCAGAUAUUCAACUGAAGCCAGAACCAAAUCGACAAGAUUUUGACCACAGUAAUGGACCAAACAGAGGCAAAAGCGCAGUCAUCUCCACAAAAACAGUCUGCCAAGAACAGAUCCAAAUCCACAGAAGAGGAAAAUCGAUCAAAGAAGAGCUUCCACACACCCCAGAAGUCUCUUCCUGUGCAGCCUGACACUGAGAAUCCCAAGAUGGAUCCAGCACCGCCUACUUCUUAGAACACUUCUCAUCUUAUACUCAUUUGUAAUGUCGUGUUCUUUGUCAAUCAUGGCACCGUAAGCCAUAUUUAAUAACAAUAAUGCUCAAUAAUGCUCAAUAAUGCUCAAUAAUGCUCAAUAAUGCUCAAUAAUGCUCAAUAAUGCUCAAUAAUGCUCUAAAUGAACUUGAGGUGUUAAUGGGAUGUAUCAGUGCAAGGUUUCCGUAGUGGUCUUUAUCAAGUGUUUAGACUUCCUCAUCCUCCCAGUAUAAUGCAUUAUAUACAUUCUUACUCAACUCUUGUGCAGAUUCUGUAUGAUUUCUAUUUUUUUUUUUUUACCAUGCAGUCAUUGUUUAGUGGGGUUUAAUGAUUGAGAAUGAUUCCCAUGGAGUUGCACAGAUGCCCUUCGAUCUUCAGGCAGAGAGGAGAGAGCCAGAGGCUCUGGGAUGCUAACUGAGGGAGGAGGACUGGGCUGGCAGCUGGUGCUGUCCAAGUAAGGCGCUCAAAGACUACAUUGUCUUUGCCGUUUCUGAAUUGGUUUUGUUUUUGGUUGAUGUACUUUGGUAUGUAUGUGUAAUCAUUUCCUGUCGCUAUUUAGCACUUCUUCUUACUUAUGAGAUUGAAUGUGAAAGAUUAACCACAAAAGAGGUGUUCGCAAUUCUCCUCCAUUACAUGGAAAACAAUCUGUUGUAACAUUUUGUCAUUUCAUCUUUUAUGUACUACAAAACAAUCUAAAAACAAAGCUAAUGUGGA